RNAcentral lists this ribosomal RNA (325 nucleotides) under uncultured bacterium. RNAcentral describes it as "bacterial SSU rRNA". It matches the Rfam family "Bacterial small subunit ribosomal RNA", at positions 18 to 344 of the family's 1533-position model. The record is from RNAcentral.
CAUGGCUCAGGAUGAACGCUAGCUACAGGCUUAACACAUGCAAGUCGAUGGGGAAGUGGUGCUUGCACCAUGGUAACCAUGGCGGACGGGUGAGUAACGCGUAAGGAACUUGCCUGCGGGACCGGGAUAACAGCAGGAAACUGCUGACAAGACCGGAUAAGGUCAUGAAGCUGCAUAGCUUUGUGAUGAAAGGAGACGCCUGCGGAGAGCCUUGCGUCCUAUUAGCUAGUUGGAGGGGUAACGGCCCACCAAGGCGAAGAUAGGUAGCCGGCCUGAGAGGGUGGACGGCCACAAGGGGACUGAGAUACGGCCCUUACUCCUACGG